GACUGCCGGUAUAAACCGGAGGAAGUGGGGAUGACGUCAAAUCAUCAUGCCCCUUAUGACCUGGGCUACACACCGUGCUACAAUGGUUGGUACAACGAGUUGCGAGUCGGUGACGGCGAGCUAAUCUCUUAAAGCCAAUCUCAGUUCGGAUUGUAGGCUGCAACUCGCCUACAUGAAGUCGGAAUCGCUAGUAAUCGCGGAUCAGCACGCCGCCGGUGAAUACGUUCCCGGGCCUU
RNAcentral lists this ribosomal RNA (236 nucleotides) under uncultured Streptococcus sp. RNAcentral's name for it is "partial 16S ribosomal RNA". It matches the Rfam family "Bacterial small subunit ribosomal RNA", at positions 1147 to 1382 of the family's 1533-position model. Lineage: Bacteria; Bacillati; Bacillota; Bacilli; Lactobacillales; Streptococcaceae. The record is from RNAcentral.